CCCAAUGGGGACAUCUUACAUGUGUAUAAUACAGCCUCAAAGCCAGGGAAAUGACAUUGGUCCAAUCCCCAGAUCUUAUUCAGAUUCCACCAGAUUGACCGUAAGCUGACUGUCAACAUAACCUGAGGUGGUAAAUGCUCCACCAGUGACCAUCUAUUUUAUUUUCACAUCACUCAAAAUAGUUGGUCCUUAUAUUGAGCUAAAAUUGGCCUCCCUGAAAUUUUAGCUGUUGGUUCCAAUUUCUUGCUGGGAAGCUAUGCAGAAUACAGUGUAUGCCUUCUUUCACAUGACUGCCCUUACAAAUAGAUGAGGAUAGGGUGGGGCAGCCAAUACCAGGGCUGAACACUGUGAUGACUUGAUGGUCCUUCCUGUUUUAGGCACUUCUCUAUAAGUCUUUGUUCACAGUUAAACAAAAACGCAAGUGCAGUCAUAUGUUUUAUUAUUAUUAGUUAAAACUUCCAAAGUUUUUGUUGUACAAAAAUUAGAGUUACAAACAACUUAACAGCAACCUCUCCCCGCACCAAAUAAUCCCAUUAAAAAUGGGCAAAAGACCCAAAUAGACAUUUCUCAAAAGAAGACAUACAAAUGGCCAACAGGUAUUUGAAAAAAGGUUCAACAUCACUAAUCAUCAGGGAAAUCCAAAUCAAAACCACAAUGAGACACCACCUCACCUCAGUUAGAAUGGCUAUUAUAAAAAAAGACAAAAAAUAACAAAUACGGAUGAGGAUGCAGAGAAAAGGGAACUCUUAUACACUGUGAGUAGAAAUGUAAAUUAGCAUAGCCACUAUGGAAAAUGGUAUGGAGUUUACUCAAAAAACUAAAAAUAGUGCUACCAUACAAUCCAGCAUUCCUACUACUGGGUAUUUAGCCAAAAGAAAGCAAAUCCAAAAGAAAGUAUAUCAAAAGGAUACCAGCACACCAUGUGUAUUCUAGCACUAUUCACAAACGCCAAGAUAUGGAAUCAAUGUAAGUGUUUAUUGAUGAAUGAAGGGGUAAAAGAAAAUGUGGUAUAUAUAUAUAUACAAUGAAAUGCUAUUCAGCCAUAAAAAGGAAUGAAAUCCUGUCAUUUGCAGCCACAUGGAUGGAACUGGAGGUCAACAUAUUAAGUGAAAUAAGCCAGGCACAGAAAGACAAAUAUUUCAUGUUCUCACUCAUCUGUGGAAGCUAAAAAAGUUGAUCUUAUGGAGGUAGAGAGUAGAAUGAUGGUUACCAGAAGUUGGGAAGGGAUGUU
RNAcentral lists this long non-coding RNA (1231 nucleotides) under Pan troglodytes (chimpanzee). RNAcentral's name for it is "long non-coding RNA NONPTRT001224". The record is from RNAcentral. Lineage: Eukaryota; Metazoa; Chordata; Mammalia; Primates; Hominidae.